RNAcentral lists this transfer RNA (62 nucleotides) under Craugastor mexicanus (Mexican robber frog). RNAcentral's name for it is "tRNA-Cys". The record is from RNAcentral. Lineage: Eukaryota; Metazoa; Chordata; Amphibia; Anura; Craugastoridae.
GCCCUUGAAGUGUUUCACAUGGGUUUGCAAAUCUCAAAACGCAGAUAAUUCCUGCCGGGGCU